This 253-nucleotide ribosomal RNA is filed under the name uncultured bacterium. RNAcentral's name for it is "partial 16S ribosomal RNA". It matches the Rfam family "Bacterial small subunit ribosomal RNA", at positions 524 to 776 of the family's 1533-position model. The record is from RNAcentral.
GACGGAGGAUGCAAGUGUUAUCCGGAAUCACUGGGCGUAGAGCGUCUGUAGGUGGUUUAAUAAGUCAACUGUUAAAUCUUGAAGCUCAACUUCAAAAUCGCAGUCGAAACUAUUAGACUUGAGUAUAGUAGGGGUAAAGGGAAUUUCCAGUGGGGCGGUGAAAUGCGUAGAGAUUGGAAAGAACACCGAUGGCGAAGGCACUUUACUGGGCUAUUACUGACACUGAGGUGCGAAAGCGUGGGUAGCAAACAGG